This is a non-coding RNA of Acanthosepion pharaonis, 106 nucleotides long. NCBI's taxonomy places the organism in Eukaryota, Metazoa, Mollusca, Cephalopoda, Sepiida, Sepiidae. The record is from the annotation of a GenBank genome assembly.
CUAUCACGUUGAAACACCGGUUCUCGUAGGAUCACCGAAGUUAAGCAACGUCGAGCCUUGUCGUUAUCUAGAUGAAUGACCGCAUGGGAAUGCCAAGUGGUGUAAG